Molecule: unclassified non-coding RNA, 348 nt
Filed under: soil metagenome
Description: partial contains 5.8S ribosomal RNA, internal transcribed spacer 2, and large subunit ribosomal RNA
Rfam family: 5.8S ribosomal RNA (bases 1-120)
Source: RNAcentral
GAUGAAGAACGUAGCGAAAUGCGAUAAGUAAUGUGAAUUGCAGAAUUCAGUGAAUCAUCGAAUCUUUGAACGCACAUUGCGCCCGCCAGUAUUCUGGCGGGCAUGCCUGUCUGAGCGUCAUUUCAACCCUCAUGCCCCUAGGGCGUGGUGUUGGGGAUCGGCCAAAGCCCGCGAGGGACGGCCGGCCCCUAAAUCUAGUGGCGGACCCGUCGUGGCCUCCUCUGCGAAGUAGUGAUAUUACGCAUCGGAGAGCGAUGAGCCCCUGCCGUUAAACCCCCAACUUUCCAAGGUUGACCUCAGAUCAGGUAGGAAUACCCGCUGAACUUAAGCAUAUCAAUAAGCGGAGGA